Molecule: small RNA, 50 nt
Filed under: Arabidopsis thaliana (thale cress)
Lineage: Eukaryota; Viridiplantae; Streptophyta; Magnoliopsida; Brassicales; Brassicaceae
Description: ATSL066970
Source: RNAcentral
AAGAAACCUUGGUUAGAGCUGAAGACUGAUUAACUUUGAACUUUGAAAAA